This 3133-nucleotide long non-coding RNA is filed under the name Nicotiana tabacum (common tobacco). RNAcentral describes it as "long non-coding RNA (NTAB_LNC019349)". Lineage: Eukaryota; Viridiplantae; Streptophyta; Magnoliopsida; Solanales; Solanaceae. The record is from RNAcentral.
CUAGAGACCCUUCAGCCGUUUUUGAAAAUGAAACAAAGACUAGACAAAAUACUAACUUAGAGUUAUACACCCUAAGGAGGCAGCGCCGCAGAGAAGACAAACGAACCCCUUUGGAUCGUCUUCUUCAUUCCAACAACAACAGACCUUAGGAGACCUUAACUAGCGUCAGCCAUUUUUGGACUAAGGAACCUAUCAGCUUUUUCCUAACAGAGAACACAAGACCUAAACUGCUAGGCCUAGAAAAGAAGGAGGGGCCGUUUUGGUGGAUCUGGAGAAACAACCUCAUAUCAUCUUCUCCAUGAAGACCAAACGAACGACCCCUUCUACUUAAUACCUAAGAAGCAGCGAUGCCACCCAGCAUUGCCGGAAAUCCGGCAACCUCACUCAUCUCACCCCUCUCGUUCCGCUACUACCUCACCGGCGAGUGGCCAGAAAUUCAAUAAGCAACAAAAUAGCUAUCCACAGCAGAUUUACACACACACAAGAACACGCACCACCUGAAACCAUUGGAGCCGCUGCGGCUUCUUUGAAUGCACACAGCAGUAGUCGAUAUCUUCACUUCCAUUAGCCGAGAAACAAUGCCAAAUCAGGAGCUACUGUCAUGGAGUUCAUUGGGUCUGUUUUCUGAUUUAGUUUGAGCUUUCCGGUGAGCCAAGGUCGAUUUAGAAGUCCGUUCGAUGUCCCGUCGCCGGUCUGAGUUUUCAGUCGGUACCUCAUUUGAGUGUUGUUUCUUUAUAUGCAGGAGAAGGUUAGAGUUCUAUCAACGAAGGAUUCGUUCUUUAAUUUACUGAUUCCCUUUAAUUAUAUAAUGCUCUGUUUUGGUUUACAAAUAUCUAAAUGUUGUGUUAGCUUUUCCUUUCUUUCGUUGUUUUGUUUUUGCUUGUUUGAUUGAAAUCAAUUUUGCAAGAAACUGAAACAUGAACUUCUCAUUCACUUUGUUAGUUUGGUUAAUUUGAUAAAUCCAUGUUAGGCUAAGAAAGUAAAUAAGUCAAUAAUGCUUUAAAGGAAAUUCAUUUUAUUAAUAAUGUUCAUGUUAGAAUUUUGUUCCUUGGCUGAUGUUCUGUUACUUGUUUCAUUUAUUUUAAUUUCUUGUUUCUUGAAAGAAGAUGAAUAUUCGUAGUUUGCUUUAGGAGCGUUAAUUAAAUUAUUGUUAUAGUUACGGGUACGGUUCCCGUGACGUAGUUGUGAUGCUUAAUUACUAAAAUCCGGGGUACAUUUAUGUGAUCCGGCCACAACUUAAUCUUGUUAAUAAAAUAAACAUGUUGUGGAUCGUGGGUACGACUCCUGUGACAUGAUUCACAACGUGUAAUCAAAUAAUUAGUUGUAUAACAAUUGGAUUAUUAAAAGCAGUUCAAAAGGAAUAAAAUGCACAUAGGUUUCAAAUAAUGUUUUAAAAUUAGAUAAAUAGGCCAAUAAUAAUAGUUGAGCGACCGUGCUAAAACCACGGAACCCUGGAAUGCCUAACACCUUCUCCCAGGUUAACAGAAUUCCUUACUCGGAUUUCUGUGUUCGGGGACUAUAAAAUUGAGUCAAUUUUUCCUUGAUUCGGGAUUUAAAAUCAGUGACUUGGGACACCAUAAAUUAUCCCAAGUGGCGACUCUGAAUUUUAAAUAAAUGAUCCCAUUUCGAUUGUCACUUUAAUUGGAAAAACGCCUUUACACCCCUUUCAGGGGUGGUAAAAAGGAGGUGUGACAGCUCUGGCGACUCUGCUGGGGAACAAACCUAGAAUCUCUGGUUUAGGAUUCAAGAAUUCGAGCUUAGAAUAAUUGUUAUAUUUGGCUUUUAUUUAUUAUCUGAUUUUUAUUACUUGUUUGGGCUUAAUGUGCUAAAUGUCACUUUUUACUGCUUUGAUAUUAUUUGAACUAUAUAUAAACUGCUGUGAAACCCUUCUCUUCUCAUCUUCGGGGAAGUGCACGCUGGCAUGACUUCUUUUCUGUUAGUGUCGUACCCUAAUUUAGAAAGAGAUUCGCACAAGUUACAAAGCCGUAUGGCCUUUUGGUUCCCGGUACGUAGGCCCCCCUCGGCUCGAAUUAUCCGCUCGGGUAAGCCAGGUCUAGAAUAAUACACCCAGGUUUUAAAACCUAGAAUAACACAACCUUAUGCCGGAUCCUUAGUAGGAACGCUUAUUUGUAUCAUGUGCAUUUGACUUUGGGGACUCAAUGCAGGGGUUGGGUCCGUCUAGGAUAGGUGUACCCAAAAAUAAAAGGCUAUCUCUGUUGCAUCUUAUGUGCUACAUGUUGCAAUCUUCAAGGAUAAAAGGGGUCAUUUGGCGGACCAAUGAUGGUUGAGGAUAAAUGAGAAAAAAAGAGGGUGAAAUGUAAAAAUGAAUCAAGUAUGACCCAGUUAUGUUUUUCUUUUACAUUUUUUUUAAGGAAAAGAUGAAAAAAAGGAAAAAAAACAGGAAAAAUCCAAAAAGAUUUUGCACUUUCCCAUCAUUUUCCAAAAAAAAAAAAUCCAAAAAGAGUUUACAUAUUUCAUCAUUUUUCAAAAUAAAAAAACAAAAAAAUAUAUUUUCUCUAAAUUAGUUAUUUUUUAUUUCUCGUCCCUAUCCAAUCUGCCCGAACUACGCAUACCUGAUUCUCGUCUUCCGGGGCGUGAUACGUAAGCAACCCACAUAAUGUCUGAUCUUCCUAGUGAGUCUUAGGUUCUUGGCUUCGCGAGGUCUUAGCCAGAUCUUGUACUUUUAGCCACUUUUAGCCACAUAGGUUAAUUUUAGAAAGAUGGUUACAAUCAUGUCUUGCAUGUGUCCAACAGGAAGGGUUAUUAUCUCACAUAGUAUUCUAGGUCUUUAACUUUAUUUGGUCUUAAUUUUCUCAUAUAGGUGUGAGUCGACUUACUGGAGUUUGAGUAUGACAUGCACCCCGGGACCAUCCAAUCAGGAUCGCCCAUUCAGGAGUUGCUUAAGGAGAUAUUUUUAUGUUUUAUGUUUUGGGUCUGUUUUUCUUUUUAUGUCGUCUUUUACUUUCUAGUUUUGUAUAGUAAUGUCGAGUCUUUUAUUAUUGUACUUUCUAUUUUGUAUUUGAAAAAGUGUGUUGUAACUCAAAAAUAAAAAAUAAAAAGAUUUUGCGUUUUAUAUUUCCGUUAGAAGUUUUCUUUACAAUGCUAAUUCUAGAAAUUAAAAAAAAAAUCUUUU